UGCAAGUCGAGGGGCAGCAUGAUUGAAGCUUGCUUCAAUUGAUGGCGACCGGCACACGGGCGAGUAACACGUAUCCAACCUUCCGUACACUCAGGGAUAGCCUUUCGAAAGAAAGAUUAAUACCUGAUGGUAUCUUAAGCACGCAUGUAAUUAAGAUUAAAGAUUUAUCGGUGUACGAUGGGGAUGCGCUCCAUUAGGUAGUAGGCGGGGUAACGGCCCACCUAGCCUACGAUGGAUAGGGGUUCUGAGAGGAAGGUCCCCCACAUUGGAACUGAGACACGGUCCAAACUCCUACGGGAGGCAGCAGUGAGGAAUAUUGGUCAAUGGACGAGAGUCUGAACCAGCCAAGUAGCGUGAAGGAUGAAGGUCCUACGGAUUGUAAACUUCUUUUAUAAGGGAAUAAAACCUCCCCCGUGUGGGAGCUUGUAUGUACCUUAUGAAUAAG
RNAcentral lists this ribosomal RNA (445 nucleotides) under uncultured Bacteroides sp. RNAcentral's name for it is "bacterial SSU rRNA". It matches the Rfam family "Bacterial small subunit ribosomal RNA", at positions 56 to 490 of the family's 1533-position model. Lineage: Bacteria; Pseudomonadati; Bacteroidota; Bacteroidia; Bacteroidales; Bacteroidaceae. The record is from RNAcentral.